This 75-nucleotide transfer RNA is filed under the name Rhodospirillales bacterium. RNAcentral's name for it is "tRNA-Thr". It matches the Rfam family "tRNA". From Rfam's summary of the family: Transfer RNA (tRNA) molecules are approximately 80 nucleotides in length. The record is from RNAcentral. Lineage: Bacteria; Pseudomonadati; Pseudomonadota; Alphaproteobacteria; Rhodospirillales.
GCCGUCGUAGCUCAGGGGUAGAGCACGUCAUUGGUAAUGACGGGGCCGGUGGUUCAAUUCCACCCGACGGCACCA